RNAcentral lists this ribosomal RNA (252 nucleotides) under uncultured bacterium. Its description in RNAcentral is "partial 16S ribosomal RNA". It matches the Rfam family "Bacterial small subunit ribosomal RNA", at positions 524 to 776 of the family's 1533-position model. The record is from RNAcentral.
UACGGAGGAUGCGAGCGUUAUCCGGAUUUAUUGGGUUUAAAGGGUGCGUAGGCGGAGUGCCAAGUCAGCGGUAAAAAUUCGGGGCUCAACCCCGUCGUGCCGUUGAAACUGGCGCCCUUGAGUGGGCGAGAAGUACGCGGAAUGCGUGGUGUAGCGGUGAAAUGCAUAGAUAUCACGCAGAACCCCGAUUGCGAAGGCAGCAUACCGGCGCCCGACUGACGCUGAAGCACGAAAGCGUGGGUAUCGAACAGG